AUUGAACGCUGGCGGCAGGCCUAACACAUGCAAGUCGAGCGAGCGGCGGACGGGUGAGUAAUGUAUGGGGACUGCCCGAUAGAGGGGGAUAACUACUGGAACCGGUGGCUAAUACCGCCUACUAUCGGAUAACCCAUAUGGGAUUAGCCAGUAGGUGGGGGAAAGGAUCACAUAGGCGACGAUCUCUAGCUGGUCUGAGAGGAUGAUCAGCCACACUGGGACGGAGACACGGCCCAGACUCCUACGGAGACAGCAGUGGGAAAUAUUGGACAAUGGGCGCAAGCCUGAUGCAGCCAUGCCGCGUGUGCGAUGAAGGUCUUCGGGUUGUAAAGCAUUUUUGGCAGGAAAGCGUUACCUGCAGAAUAAGCACCGGCUAACUACGUGCCAGCAGCCGCGGUAAUUC
Molecule: ribosomal RNA, 403 nt
Filed under: uncultured bacterium
Lineage: Bacteria
Description: partial 16S ribosomal RNA
Rfam family: Bacterial small subunit ribosomal RNA
Source: RNAcentral